GAUGAACGCUGGCGGUAUGCUUAACACAUGCAAGUCGAACGGACUCUUCGGAGUUAGUGGCGGACGGGUGAGUAACGCGUGAGAAUCUGGCUUUGGGUUCGGGACAACCACUGGAAACGGUGGCUAAUACCGGAUGUGCCGAGAGGUAAAAGAGAAAUUGCCUGAAGAUGAGCUCGCGUCUGAUUAGCUAGUUGGUGAGGUAAAGGCUCACCAGGGCAGCGAUCAGUAGCUGGUCUGAGAGGAUGACCAGCCACACUGGGACUGAGACACGGCCCAGACUCCUACGGGAGGCAGCAGUGGGGAAUUUUCCGCAAUGGGCGAAAGCCUGACGGAGCAAUACCGCGUGAGGGAAGAAGGCUCUUGGGUUGUAAACCUCUUUUCUUAGGGAAGAACAAAAUGACGGUACCUAAGGAAUCAGCAUCGGCUAACUCCGU
This 434-nucleotide ribosomal RNA is filed under the name uncultured bacterium. Its description in RNAcentral is "partial 16S ribosomal RNA". It matches the Rfam family "Bacterial small subunit ribosomal RNA", at positions 28 to 506 of the family's 1533-position model. The record is from RNAcentral.